UUUCCGUAGGUGAACCUGCGGAAGGAUCAUUACAGUAUUCUAUUGCCUGCGCUUAACUGCGCGGCGAUAUACCUUUACACACAAUGUUUUUUCUACACAGAAUUAAAGACACCAUUGCUUUGGUGGGUUCGAAGGGUAAAAGCUUCGGUUUAAGGCCCGCCAGAGGUUAUACAAUAAACUCAAUUCUUAUUUUUUUUAGUGAUAAAAAAUUAUAAUAGUCAGAUUUUUUUUUGCCUGGAUUAAUUUCUUGUGCAUACAAAACUUCAAAACUUUCAACAACGGAUCUCUUGGUUCUCGCAUCGAUGAAGAACGCAGCGAAUUGCGAUAAGUAUUGUGAAUUGCAGAAUUUCGUGAAUCAUCGAAUCUUUGAACGCACAUUGCACCCUGUGGUAUUCCACAGGGUAUGCCUGUUUGAGCGUCAUUUCUCUCUCAAAACUCAUCUGAGUUUUGGUGUUGAGUGAUACUCUUUAGUUGUUCGAACUGACGAGUUUGCUUGAAAAGUAUUGGCAAGGGAGGCGAAAGUCCUGACAUGUGCUAUUUAUUCAAUGUAUUAGGUUUAUCCAACUCGUUGAUUGAUAGUGUGUGGCUAAUUUUUUGCUACUAGGCCCGGCCUAAUAACUACAACAAACCCAAAGUUUGACCUCAAAUCAGGUAGGAUUACCCGCUGAACUUAA
This 674-nucleotide ribosomal RNA is filed under the name Nakazawaea siamensis. RNAcentral describes it as "eukaryotic LSU rRNA". The stretch from base 268 to 421 matches the Rfam family "5.8S ribosomal RNA". Lineage: Eukaryota; Fungi; Ascomycota; Pichiomycetes; Alaninales; Pachysolenaceae. The record is from RNAcentral.